Notothenia coriiceps (black rockcod) is the source of this 1147-nucleotide long non-coding RNA. RefSeq lists it as uncharacterized. The transcript has 3 exons. The record is from RefSeq and is a predicted model, not a curated record. NCBI's taxonomy places the organism in Eukaryota, Metazoa, Chordata, Actinopteri, Perciformes, Nototheniidae.
AUGGCAAAGGGAGAGGGACUUAAGUGAGAGUGAAAACACAAGUAACCUACUGUAUGGCAGGUGGAGGGGCAGUGAUGUUACAGGUGGAGGAGCAAAACUGCAAGACUGCAAACUCACAAGACAGAGAAAUCAAAGUUUGUUCUCCAGAGAAGAGGUUGAUUUCACUUCAUUUAUUUCAUAUUUUCUAAAGAUGUGGAAAUGGCAACAAAAAAAAACUUGAGAGCUGCAACCAAGACAACUGUAACAACAUGAGUAGAGAGCCACCAAGGUUUUUCAAGUCCCUCUCUUACUCCAUUUUGCCAACCCAAACUUCCAGGUACAUGACGGGACACCUUGCUUGUUUUUGUUGUUUGCGCUCCUCUGGCUGGGUGCUGGCAGGUGGAGGGCAGUGAUGUUGGCAGGUGGAGGGGCAGUGAUGUUACGGGUGGAGGGGCAUUGAUGUUAGCUGUUACACACCAGGCUCAAACUUAACACAUUGCAUCCUUCUUUGCAGUGUCCUUAUUCCUGGAAGGGGAAUCUGCAAUUCCUGCAGAGUUUUGUAACCCGUUGGUCCGCACGCAAAGCGAAUUUUUAAAGCCUUCUUAAUUGUCUCAUUGCUCCAUUUCAUCCCCUCUGUGAUACAGGUCCCGGGGUGAAUCGUGGUGCAGGGGCCCUUCUCUUUUUGACCACAGGGCGAUGCACGAAGAUGGUGGGUAUAGCCUCUGCUCUCAGCCUAGUCUUGCCCUUUUUUGUCUUGACAAACUGGUCUGCAUCAAAAUGUGCCUGCGGAGUGACUUGAGGUUACUUCACACACAGAACAACUCAGUUUUGUCUGCCCACAUACAUAUUCCAUAGUGGUUGAAUACACAGUAUUAGGAAACACUUUAUACUUACUGGACAUGUUAUACUCAUUACAUACUGUAUAUAAAAUAUGACCAAGAAUGUGAGACAACUUUAUAGAAAUUCAUAUCACAUCUGUUACUGAUGCCAUUUGUCAUACUUUGUUAAACUCACAAAUAAUAAAGUUCCAUAACUUCAGUUGGGAACAAAGACCACACCUUAUCUCCCCAAGGCAAUUUCCCAUCCAAUAGGUGUGCUAUAUAGGUGUGUAUAACCCUUUCUCCUGUCUGUUACUCCCUCUUUCAGCACAAGAACCAGAGGGGGAUUC